This 1035-nucleotide long non-coding RNA is filed under the name Sus scrofa (pig). RNAcentral's name for it is "lncRNA (ENSSSCG00015013413.1)". Lineage: Eukaryota; Metazoa; Chordata; Mammalia; Artiodactyla; Suidae. The record is from RNAcentral.
GCUGGAGAGACGGGAGGUCGCAGGGCCAUUGGCCUCCUUGAAUCCUCUGGAGUCUCUGAAGAUCUGCAAAAGCCUUCUUGUCUUCCACCCCAUGGUGACAGGCAUGGGGGGAGGCAAGAGUGGCCAGGAAUUGUCCUCUCCCCUGCACUGCUGGUGUGGGGGAAACGUAGGCGGGACCUGAAGCGAUGCAGCCCCCCUGGGCAUUCUCACCUGGUGGCUGGCUCUUUCCUCUCUGGGACUGUUCUAGAAUCCCUGGAAAAGUCUGGGAGCAGAGGCUCCUCGCAGACUCAGCCCUCUGAGCCUCAGGAUGGGCCUCGGUCAAAUGGGGACCGCUCACACCUGGCCUCCAUUGUAUCCAAAUGUGAUUACACAUCUGGGCAGCAGCUCCCCCCCGCCCCGUCCCCGCCCUGCCUCAAGAAGGAGCGCAAGGCGAGCGAGACUCCUGGAGCCAAGACGACCUUCACCCUUGGGUUUUGUCCGCGUGGAGAAGACAGGUGCCACAGUCCUGCUAGGGUGAGUCUGCGAGGAGGCUUUGCUUCUGCGGAAGCGCCUUCUGUCCUGAGACAGCGGGAAGCGGCGGGGUGGGGGGACACUCCUCUUUCCUUUAGACCUGGGCGCGCUGGCCGCAGGGCAGUUUGUCUCCCAAGGGUCCCCGAUCUGAACCUGGUCGGAUUGGCUGGGAUCUGCGGAGGCUGGGGGCGGGGUGGUGGCUGGGGAGCCCCUUUCCGCACAGCAGAGUGAGGUCUCCGUGGCUGCCCGUGCCCGGCGGACGUCCUGCGCCAAUCGCCGGGCAGCGCGGAAACCGUGAGAAAAAGGAGGCGCGCACCUUGCGGGCUGUCCCGCGCCUCCUCGGGUCGGGGUUGGUGCCUGCGCGAAGCCUCAGGGCGGGUGCGGGGGCUGCGGCUGGGCCCUCGGCUGAGCCGGGCCCCGCGCGGUCUCCGCCCCGCGCACCCCGGCUCUAGAGCGCCGCGCCUCGGCGAUGCCCGCCACCGGCUUCUGCGUCCCGGGACGCGCGAGCCGAGUCACUCCUGCGCC